ACCUGGCCCAGCAGCGCUGAUGAGUCCCAGGCUCCGCCCCCGGUCGGAGCCUGAUCCCGCCCAACAGACUGUGCUUACGCAAAGAGAGACAGGCCGGCGGGGAAAGGCAAGGGCAACCCAGCCCCAUUCAGAGGGGAAGAGUCUUCACCUGGCCCAGCAGCGCUGAUGAGCCCCGGCUCCGCCCCCCGCUGGAGCCUGACCCUGCUCACUGGACUCUGCCUGCGCAACGGUGCACUUCUCAGGGCCGCCUUGAGGGGGCGCUGGUCAGGGACUUCGCGGACCCUCAUCCCCCACGGGGCUUGGGGGCCCUCUACACCAACCGGGUUACGGGGUCCUAAGACCCCUACAGGGACCAGGUUCUCAAGCCCGUUUUGGGAACGGGUCCCCUUCCCCCUGGUGGAUACCUGCACCCUCCUCUUGCAAUCACACCCCUAGGGCCAGGCCGUGCCCCCAAAAACGCCCAUGACGGAGCGGCGGGGUCACUGUCACGGGGGGCACCCCCUGGAAGCCACAGACAAGCGGCGACCUCGGCCUCUUCCAAAAUUGCAGGCAGACAGGCCGGCGCGGAAAGCCCCGGGCAACCCAGCCCCACUCAGAGGGGAAGAGUCCUCACCUGGCCCAGCAGUGCUGCUGAGCCUCUGGCUAUGCCCCAGGCUGGAGCUUGACCCCGCCCCCGGACUCUGCCUGCGCAAAGAAGGCCUAUACAAAGAAAGAAGUGAAAACUUGAAGAAGUGAUUAGAGUUGGAAGUUUAAUACCAUUUUAAUGAAGGGAAAAGUUACUGGACAACAAAAGAAGAGUUUUAGGGACCAUAAAUUAUGUGGCUUUUUAGGUUUCCUGGCUCCUUUGGGGCUUAUUGUUUGGAAGAGUCAGUGCAAGUUUGUCAAUAGUAGCCCUGAGUCUACCUAAACUAUUUCGUGGCCAGAAACUGACAGUGAAACAUUUCAACAGAAACCAAGCCCUCCAAAGUGAACUUUCUAAAUGGUGUGCUGAAUCUGAGAAUUUCAACCUUAUUUUUCUGUUGGGUAAAAAUCAUUCUCUUUUAUUGCCCUGUACUCACUUUUAUUUUAUUUU
Molecule: long non-coding RNA, 1072 nt
Organism: Talpa occidentalis (Iberian mole)
Lineage: Eukaryota; Metazoa; Chordata; Mammalia; Eulipotyphla; Talpidae
Exons: 4
Source: RefSeq, a predicted model, not a curated record